RNAcentral lists this ribosomal RNA (252 nucleotides) under uncultured bacterium. RNAcentral describes it as "partial 16S ribosomal RNA". It matches the Rfam family "Bacterial small subunit ribosomal RNA", at positions 524 to 776 of the family's 1533-position model. The record is from RNAcentral.
UACGGAGGGUGCAAGCGUUAUCCGGAUUCACUGGGUUAAAGGGUGUGUAGGCGGAUUUUUAAGUCAGUGGUGAAAUCUCCGGGCUCAACCCGGAAACUGCCAUUGAUACUAUUAGUCUUGAAUUCUGUUGAGGUGGGCGGAAUACAUCAUGUAGCGGUGAAAUGCUUAGAUAUGAUGUAGAACACCGAUUGCGAAGGCAGCUCACUAAGCAGACAUUGACGCUGAGGCACGAAAGCGUGGGGAUCAAACAGG